AUAGCAACGAAAAGGUCACAUCCGGCUAAGCCGAUCAAAUAUAUAAGAUAACUAGAAAAUAAUAAAAACAUUAUCAACUAGGUUAAACCUAAAUUCAUAAAAAGUAGAUCUAUAGAUCUAGAUUUAAUAAUAGUGAAAAAGAAAAGAAUGUCUGGACUUACCAGAGAUAUUUUAAAAUGGCUUCAAAGUCUUGACCUUACUACGCAAAUCCGAAAUCCAAAAUGGGAUUUUUCAAAUGGAUAUUUAGUAGCAGAAAUAUUUUCUUGGUAUUAUCCUCAAGAGAUUCAGAUGCAUUCUUUUUAUAAUGGAGAAUCUUUGGCUCAAAAGAAUAAGAACUGGUACCUGCUGAAAAAUUUUAUUCUCAGAAAUUCUUUUGACAUUAAAAUGGAAGAUGUUGAUGGAACUAUUCACUGCAGAGAAGGCGCAGCAGUUCAGCUGGUGGAGAGCAUGUAUGAAAUUCUUACCAACAAAAGGGUGAAGAAAAUUUUGCCAGAAAUUGAAACAGACUACACAGACUUUGCUUAUCAACAGCGCCUGCCCAUGCAUGCCAGAUCCACAGCUUCUAAGGCAGUUAAAAACAACUUGAGGCUCACUGAAAUAUUGGCAGACCAAAAUAUUAUUACUUCUACAGCAAAGCCUGACUGGUUUGCUCAAAGAACAAUCCUAAAGGCUCAGAAAAUUAUAAAUGAUCACAUAGAUCAUCGCCGCCAGGAGAGGAUAGAGGAUCCAAAAAGAUUUGGCAUCAAGCCAUCACUUGGAGAUCGCUGUGUACGCAGAGCUGACUUGAGCCAAAAACUUUUUUCUGAGCCAAGUCAUUUAACUGUCACCUCAGAUCUGCAGUCUGAACUCGAGUGGAAACAAAUCUGGUCAAAAUAUCCAAAGAAAUGUGGACAGUUUCAUAAUUAUUGAACUGUAAUGGUUUAAUGUUAGAGUUGCUUUGAAUUUUUUUUUUUUCCUUGCCUCCUCAUUUUUAACACAAUAAUUUCAAACGCAUAAAAAGUAAGAAGUGAAACUGAGUCAAUGAAAGAAGAAACAAUUACAAGAGAGCCAAGUAUCCAGUUUAAGGAGAUUGAUGUCAAACAGAUGGAUAAGUCUACAUUCUAUCAACUACCUGUUCAGAGUUAUUGAAAUGUUUUUUUUAGUACUUGAUAAAUUGAUUUUGUUGAAUGACAAUCCACCAUACCAAUUAUUGUUUCAGUGAUGUCUGACAAAACCAGUCAUAUAAUGAAAAAAAAAAAAAAAAUUAAAUUUAAACUGUUCUCUUAACACUGUUAAUUUAUGGUGGUCUAAUUGUGUAUCAUGUAACUACCUGACAGAAUUUAAGCUUGACUCUGUGAAAGCAGAUAUUUAAUUAUUUUUUUUUUAGGAUUUUCGCAGCAUCUUAAGUCCAUAUAGGUAUCUGAUUUUUGGUGGUGAAAGUAAACGAUUCAUGAGCUUACUACAUCAUUGACCACAGAAACAGAUGAACUUUACAUAAUCUACAUAUCAAACGGAACCUAUUUUUUAAAAAUUGUGGCUUUUAAGUAACAGAAGUGAUUAAUUAAAUAAUUAUUGGUCACAUUGUGAUUUUUUUUUAAUAGCUUUAGAUUUUUUCGCCUUAUUGUUUGUUAUCCACUGUGACACUUAUUUUUGUCACUUUAUCUAAUUUUUUUUUUACAAAGUCACUGGUUUUAUCAGACACACUAACAAAUACUUUGUUAUAAAUUUAUGCUUGUGGUGGAAAAUUAUUGGUUAAACUACACACAAAUAUUUUCUUUUAGGAGAUUUAUACAAUUUUUGUUUGUUUUACAAAUGAUAUCUCUUAAUACAAUUUUGGAAUACAUUAUAGGUUGAAUAAUGUUUGAAUCUAAAUUAUUUUUUCUUUAACCAACAAUUUUUUUUGUAAACCACUUAAGAAAAGUAAAUGUAAAAUUAUUUAGUGGUGAAACAAUCUUAACAAAUGGAAUAAACAGACUGAAGUGCCUAGUUCCAGGAAGUUAUACUUAGACCUUUAAAUAACUCUCAACACUUGUAACUUCAAAACAUCAUACAUUAAAUAUUCUAUUUGAAAAUUGC
Biomphalaria glabrata is the source of this 2055-nucleotide RNA transcript. It is a transcript of the gene named spermatogenesis-associated protein 4-like, with no coding region annotated. Lineage: Eukaryota; Metazoa; Mollusca; Gastropoda; Planorbidae. The record is from RefSeq and is a predicted model, not a curated record. The transcript is spliced from 8 exons.